Long non-coding RNA from Gymnogyps californianus (California condor), 1663 nucleotides. RefSeq lists it as uncharacterized. NCBI's taxonomy places the organism in Eukaryota, Metazoa, Chordata, Aves, Accipitriformes, Cathartidae. The transcript is spliced from 2 exons. The record is from RefSeq and is a predicted model, not a curated record.
CGACAGCGGACCGGACCGGACUGAGCUCCAGCGCGCACCGACCUAUUGAUCGGGGACUCCUCCGGAUUCCCUCCGAAGCCGGGGCGACAAGCGACUCAAAGGUGCAACGCCAACCAGAGAUAUUUGUAUCAGGGUGAAAGGGGAAUGAAUCCUUGGAUUGUGGAUGAACAGAGUCAAACACUCUUCGCUUUUUGAAUGGGAGAAUCCGACUACUGGAAGGAAAGGACAACUGUGUUGGACUGUUCUUCCCCAGGGAUUUAAAAAUAGUCCCACUUUGUUCGGUGAAGUACUGGCCAAAGAAUUAGAACAAUGGCGAACUAAUAAUGAUAAUGUUACUCUCUUACAGUAUGUGGACGAUAUCUUAAUUGGAGCAGAUACAGAACAGACUUGUACAGAAGCCACAGUAAGCCUGCUAAACUUUCUGGGAAUAGCCAGAUUCUGCUGGAUAUGGAUCCCCAAUUUCGGACUUACAACCAAGCCCUUAUACGCAGACACAAAGGGCCUUGUGGGGAGUUGUUAGAAGGGACUCCAGAGUGUCGGAGUAGUUUUGAUGAAAUUAAAAAAAACGAUGGAAGCUCUCCUCAAGAAACUACAUGAAGAAACUCACAUGGGAGCCAAUGCUAUGAUAAGCAGUGUUAAGAGAUACGCUGUAGGGAAAAAAUGCAGACAAAUGCAGAUAUAAUAGCAAAGAGAUGAAACUUGUGUAAAUGAUCCCAAAAUACAAAGAAAGCCGCCAGCAGGUGACGUAAAAAGAGGAAUAACCCCUAGGGAAUACUGGCAAAUAGAUUUCUCUGAAUUACCAAAUGUGGACAACAUAAGUAUCUACUUGUUCUAGUGGAUACGUUUUCCGGAUGGCCUGAGACUUUCCCUUGUCGCAACAAUGGGGCUAGGGAAGUAAUUAGGAUAUUACUAAAGGAAAUAACCCCCCAGAUAGCUAGAGUUGGACCAUAUGUCGUUAAAAGGGUUGGACAACAACGACUUUUGUUUAAUCCAUCAUGGUCCCUCAAACGGGUAGAACUAUCAAUGCAGAUUAAUAUCUCUGCAGUUAAACCAGCCUGUUCACCAUUCGUAAGUGCGUCCUAUACAGGAUGGUUAGCGUGGUUACAUGGGCGGUCUCUUACCCUUCCAAAUCGAGUAAAAAGAAAUGUAACUGAUAUCCUAGGGACAGGAUUGGGAGUCUUAAACAGCAUAGAUAUGAAAUACUUGCAAACAAACUCAGUACAGCCACACAUGAUCUAAAAAAACUAGAACAUCCAUUGCAAUCCUCCCUGUCAGCUUUAGGAACUCAUCAAUGGCUGUUGUCUGAUAUAUUGCCUCAAUGGGAAAGGGUUAAUGAAAAGGACCACCAAUUAAUCAUAGAUGUACUUGGUAUAGCCCAAAACAAUAUUUCUCUAGCUCUUAGUUGCAUCCAAGCUCAACUGUGGGUGCAAUAUACAAUAGCAGCAAUUGUAAGAGAAGGUGAAGAUGGCACCUUACCUACUGAAAUUCGGAAAAUAAUCUGGGAAAAGGCAACUGCAUUUGAAAGAGAAUUCCAAUCAUGGUGGUAUCUGGGCAAUUUCACUCACAAUCCUAUCGAUAACAAAGCCACGGCCUUUGUUGUAACCAUACAGAAUGCAUCGGUAAAAACCAUCUACCCGAUCGUUGCGUUAGGCUUAAAUCACAA